Molecule: ribosomal RNA, 887 nt
Filed under: uncultured bacterium
Lineage: Bacteria
Description: bacterial SSU rRNA
Rfam family: Bacterial small subunit ribosomal RNA
Source: RNAcentral
UGCAAGUAGAACGCUGAAGGAGGAGCUUGCUUCUCUGGAUGAGUUGCGAACGGGUGAGUAACGCGUAGGUAACCUGCCUGGUAGCGGGGGAUAACUAUUGGAAACGAUAGCUAAUACCGCAUAAUAGUAGAUGUUGCAUGACAUUUGCUUAAAAGGUGCAAUUGCAUCACUACCAGAUGGACCUGCGUUGUAUUAGCUAGUAGGUGGGGUAACGGUUCACCAAGGCGACGAUACAUAGCCGACCUGAGAGGGUGAUCGGCCACACUGGGACUGAGACACGGCCCAGACUCCGACGGGAGGCAGCAGUAGGGAAUCUUCGGCAAUGGACGGAAGUCUGACCGAGCAACGCCGCGUGAGUGAAGAAGGUUUUCGGAUCGUAAAGCUCUGUUGUAAGAGAAGAACGAGUGUGAGAGUGGAAAGUUCACACUGUGACGGUAUCUUACCAGAAAGGGACGGCUAACUACGUGCCAGCAGCCGCGGUAAUACGUAGGUCCCGAGCGUUGUCCGGAUUUAUUGGGCGUAAAGCGAGCGCAGGCGGUUAGAUAAGUCUGAAGUUAAAGGCUGUGGCUUAACCAUAGUACGCUUUGGAAACUGUUUAACUUGAGUGCAAGAGGGGAGAGUGGAAUUCCAUGUGUAGCGGUGAAAUGCGUAGAUAUAUGGAGGAACACCGGUGGCGAAAGCGGCUCUCUGGCUUGUAACUGACGCUGAGGCUCGAAAGCGUGGGGAGCAAACAGGAUUAGAUACCCUGGUAGUCCACGCCGUAAACGAUGAGUGCUAGGUGUUAGACCCUUUCCGGGGUUUAGUGCCGCAGCUAACGCAUUAAGCACUCCGCCUGGGGAGUACGACCGCAAGGUUGAAACUCAAAGGAAUUGACGGGGGCCCGCACA